Non-coding RNA from Equus caballus (horse), 613 nucleotides. Lineage: Eukaryota; Metazoa; Chordata; Mammalia; Perissodactyla; Equidae. The record is from RefSeq and is a predicted model, not a curated record.
GUGUCCGUAUUUAUAGGUGCGCGCGCCCCGCGCUCGCGCUCCGGAGCGCUCUUUGCAAUAACACAGUAUCACGUGUGGGGAAUGAAACCUGAGAGGAAAACAAAGCCGCCGGCGGCGGCCGCGGAGGCAGGCGGCGGGGGCGAGGGGCCGGAGGAGGAAGAGGAGGAGGAAGGGAAAGCCGCGCGGGCGGCGGCGCGGGUAGUCCAGGCUUCCUGCGGGCAGAGUUGGUAGCCCCCGGGGCGCGCGGGACCCAGACGAGGGAGGCGAGCACGUUUCCCCGCCGCGCUCGGGCUGGGAAUUGGGGCGCGAGCAGAACCCCGUCGAAGAUGCAGCCCCUGAGAUAAAUGCACGCCCCGGGGAGCAUAAGAGCCUAGGCGGUGAACAUCUUCGUGUGACCAGACUCAUUUAUAGAUCCCCAUUUUAUGGUGCUGUCACUUCUCAUCUCUUUCUUAGCAAAGAUCAACAUAAAUUUUUACUGUGGGCCUGAAAUGUACUCUUUUCUAUGAAGACUGAAGUAGGCUAAAAUGGGCUCACACCCUUUCCCCUUGUCACCUUGCAAAUUUUUGUGGAUUAAGAUCUCUGGUUCUCCCAUAUAAACAGUACAGACAAUUAC